GAUGAACGCUGGCGGCGUGCCUAAUACAUACAAGUCGAGCGAACGGACGAGAAGCUUGCUUCUCUGAUGUUAGCGGCGGACGGGUGAGUAACGCGUGGAUAACCUACCUAUAAGACUGGGAUAACUUCGGGAAACCGGAGCUAAUACCGGAUGAUAUUUUGAACCGCAUGGUUCAAAAGUGAAAGACGGUCUUGCUGUCACUUAUAGAUGGAUCCGCGCUGCAUUAGCUAGUUGGUAAGGUAACGGCUUACCAAGGCAACGAUGCAUAGCCGACCUGAGAGGGUGAUCGGCCACACUGGAACUGAGACACGGUCCAGACUCCUACGGGAGGCAGCAGUAGGGAAUCUUCCGCAAUGGGCGAAAGCCUGACGGAGCAACGCCGCGUGAGUGAUGAAGGUCUUCGGAUCGUAAAACUCUGUUAUUAGGGAAGAACAUAUGUGUAAGUAACUGUGCACAUCUUGACGGUACCUAAUCAGAAAGCCACGGCUAACUACGUG
This 497-nucleotide ribosomal RNA is filed under the name uncultured bacterium. RNAcentral's name for it is "partial 16S ribosomal RNA". It matches the Rfam family "Bacterial small subunit ribosomal RNA", at positions 28 to 507 of the family's 1533-position model. The record is from RNAcentral.